This 101-nucleotide small nuclear RNA is filed under the name Zalophus californianus (California sea lion). The record is from RNAcentral. Lineage: Eukaryota; Metazoa; Chordata; Mammalia; Carnivora; Otariidae.
GCUCACUUUGGCAUGCUUGUGUUAAAAUUGGAACUGUAUAGAGAAGAUUAGCAUGACCCCUGUGUGAGAAUGACAUCAUUUAUGAUGCAGUCCAUAUUUUU